RNAcentral lists this ribosomal RNA (253 nucleotides) under uncultured bacterium. RNAcentral describes it as "partial 16S ribosomal RNA". It matches the Rfam family "Bacterial small subunit ribosomal RNA", at positions 524 to 776 of the family's 1533-position model. The record is from RNAcentral.
UACGUAGGGUGCAAGCGUUGUCCGGAAUUAUUGGGCGUAAAGAGCUCGUAGGCGGUCUGUCGCGUCGGCUGUGAAAACUCGGGGCUCAACUCCGAGCUUGCAGUCGAUACGGGCAGGCUAGAGUUCGGCAGGGGAGACUGGAAUUCCUGGUGUAGCGGUGAAAUGCGCAGAUAUCAGGAGGAACACCCGUGGCGAAAGCGGCUCUCUGGGACGGUACUGACGCUGAGACGCGAAAGCGUGGGGAGCAAACAGG